AACGCUAGCUACAGGCUUAACACAUGCAAGUCGAGGGGAAACGACAUCGAAAGCUUGCUUUUGGUGGGCGUCGACUGGCGCACGGGUGAGUAACGCGUAUCCAACCUGCCCACCACUUGGGGAUAACCUUGCGAAAGUAAGACUAAUACCCAAUGAUAUCCCACGAAGGCAUCCGAAUGGGAUUAAAGAUUUAUCGGUGAUGGAUGGGGAUGCGUCUGAUUAGCUUGUUGGCGGGGUAACGGCCCACCAAGGCAACGAUCAGUAGGGGUUCUGAGAGGAAGGUCCCCCACAUUGGAACUGAGACACGGUCCAAACUCCUACGGGAGGCAGCAGUGAGGAAUAUUGGUCAAUGGGCGAGAGCCUGAACCAGCCAAGUAGCGUGCAGGACGACGGCCCUAUGGGUUGUAAACUGCUUUUAUAAGGGAAUAAAGUGAGUCUCGUGAGACUUUUUGCAUGUACCUUAUGAAUAAGGACCGGCUAAUUCCGUGCCAGCAGCCGCGGUAAUACGGAAGGUCCGGGCGUUAUCCGGAUUUAUUGGGUUUAAAGGGAGCGUAGGCCGGAGAUUAAGCGUGUCGUGAAAUGUAGGCGCUCAACGUCUGCACUGCAGCGCGAACUGGUUUCCUUGAGUACGCACAAAGUGGGCGGAAUUCGUGGUGUAGCGGUGAAAUGCAUAGAUAUCACGAAGAACUCCGAUUG
This 696-nucleotide ribosomal RNA is filed under the name uncultured bacterium. Its description in RNAcentral is "bacterial SSU rRNA". It matches the Rfam family "Bacterial small subunit ribosomal RNA", at positions 32 to 715 of the family's 1533-position model. The record is from RNAcentral.